GUGUAUAAGGUGUCACCUGUUCCGCUCAGCUGCUUCUACUUCAUGUCUUCGAGGUCAAAAACUCCGACAGUUUCACGUAUGAGAUAGUCUGCUGUUUUCUGUGUUGCUCUGAGAAUUCCUCAUUCACAAACUGCAACCAUGAGAGCAGAUAUAGAAAAACAGCUUUGAACACGUUCCUGGAUUCAUCUGCAGCAGGAGCUGAAGCUGGCUGGGCUGUUACUGUGGGAGCUGGAAUUCAAAGAACUGAGAAACACGUGUCCUGUACAUGUUACUGUUAAUCUGGAUAAUUUUCAUUUAUAUAAUUGGUGUGAGUGUUUAUAAUAUUUAGUGUCUGCUGGCUCUUUGCAGAGGGCACAGCAGAAACAAGCUCAUUUUCUGUUUAAUAAUCAGGGAUUGUUUUACUUCUCUGAUGUUUAUUGAUCCACUGUAAUGUAGAUGUUUUUGCUCUCUAUCAGCUCAUAUUUACAAUUUUUGUCAUUUUCGUUUUUUUCCUCUCAUUAAAGGUCAGAGGUCACAGUGAACACCUCCAUGUGUUGUUGGUCUGACAGAAUCUCCUGUGCUGCCACCUGCUGGUGAUGAACCAUCAGAGGGCUUCAUACACCAAUCACUAUAAGCAUGUUUUUCAAUUAUAACCUUAAUGACGUAAACUACACAGACACACAAAACAGAAAAACAAAACAAAAAACAAAAAACCUACAUGAAUAAACAGGGUCUGAAAGAUGUCAAGGACUUUUUACUGAAUGGAAACUUAUUACUAUUCACAUCGUGUGAACAGAAUCUGAAGCUCGGAUCAGACGAGUUACUGAAAAGCUGUUGUACUCUAAAAGCCAACAAUGGGAC
This is a long non-coding RNA of Oreochromis aureus, 840 nucleotides long. Lineage: Eukaryota; Metazoa; Chordata; Actinopteri; Cichliformes; Cichlidae. The record is from Ensembl.